AUAUCUCUCUGUACGGGAAGGAUGAGAAGCUUCGACCAAGGUUAGAUUCGAGCGCAGCGAGAAAGCGUUGCCGCAGGCAACGACCCGAAGGGCGAAGCGCGCAGCGCUGAGUCAUCCUUCCCCCACCACCA
Molecule: small RNA, 131 nt
Filed under: Salmonella enterica
Lineage: Bacteria; Pseudomonadati; Pseudomonadota; Gammaproteobacteria; Enterobacterales; Enterobacteriaceae
Also listed under: 2 other names
Description: RtT sRNA
Rfam family: RtT RNA
About the family: This family represents a bacterial cis-regulatory element known as RtT RNA. The exact function of RtT is unknown although it is thought that it may be involved in changing the cellular response in relation to amino acid starvation.
Source: RNAcentral